AGAGUUUGAUCCUGGCUCAGGAUGAACGCUGGCGGUAUGCCUUACACAUGCAAGUCGAACGGGAAUUAGCUUCGGUUAAUUCUAGUGGCGGACGGGUGAGUAACACGUGAGAAUUCGCCUUUAGGAGGGGGAUAACGAAUGGAAACAUUCGCUAAAACCCCAUAUGCCCCUGGGUGAAACAGAGGAUAUCAGUUAAACUAACUAACCUCUGCCUGAAGAGAAGCUCGCGGCUGAUUAGCUAGUUGGUAGGGUAAUGGCCUACCAAGGCGACGAUCAGUAGCUGGUCUGAGAGGACGAUCAGCCACACUGGAACUGAGACACGGUCCAGACUCCUACGGGAGGCAGCAGUGAGGAAUUUUCUGCAAUGGGCGAAAGCCUGACAGAGCAAUACCGCGUGAGGGAUGAAGACUUACUGAGUUGUAAACCUCGGUACCUUAAGGAAGAAGAUAUGACGGUACUUAAGGUGGAAAGCAUCGGCUAACUCCGUGCCAGCAGCCGCGGUAAGACGGGGGAUGCAAGUGUUAUCCGGAUUUACUGGGCGUAAAGCGUCUGCAGGUGGUUUCUUAAGUCUACUGUUAAAUCUUGAGGCUCAACCUCAAAUCUGCAGUAGAAACUAGGAGACUUGAGUAUAGUAGGGGUAGAGGGAAUUUCCAGUGUAGCGGUGAAAUGCGUAGA
This 675-nucleotide ribosomal RNA is filed under the name uncultured bacterium. RNAcentral's name for it is "bacterial SSU rRNA". It matches the Rfam family "Bacterial small subunit ribosomal RNA", at positions 8 to 694 of the family's 1533-position model. The record is from RNAcentral.